Molecule: long non-coding RNA, 696 nt
Organism: Panthera uncia (snow leopard)
Lineage: Eukaryota; Metazoa; Chordata; Mammalia; Carnivora; Felidae
Exons: 3
Source: RefSeq, a predicted model, not a curated record
AGGGGUUAAGACAUCAAUACCUCUUCUGGGGGGGGGGGGCACAAUUCUACCCACUACAGAGGCUGUUUUCUUUUUUUUUGAAGUUUAUGUAUUGACUUUGAGAGAGACAAAGAGAGCGUGAGCAGGGGAGGUGCAGAGAGAGAAGGAGAGAGAGAGAAUCCCAAGCAGGCUCCAUGAGCUCCUGAUUAAUUGUUACCAAGUGUCAUCCGUAAAUUUCCCUUCCACUAAUAAUCCUCUCGGACGAUCUAACAACAUCCCCGGCGAGCUGGCGGUACCGAGGCUGAGUUUCUGAGACAAGGAGCGGGUGACACCGGUACCUCCAGUGACUGGCGACGGGCGGUGGACAGCGUUCAACGGAGCUGCCAUCUCUGAAAUACAAUUAUCAGUGUGAUCUGCUUAAGGAUUCAUCAUCAGCUCCUGCCUUCUGAAGACUUAAAAAAAUGCCAAGACACACAGAGAGAAAGAGACACCGCACUCUCCCCAGCGAGGCUGCCUGAGCUCGGUGAGAAAUGGUCCCGAGGAAUCAGGAGGCUGUGGGCAUUUUCCUACCGCUGGCUGCCCGCGAUUCGGACGCAUCGUGCAACGGACAGGGACAGUAAUGAAAAAGAAGAAACACAAAUGAAGUGAAUGGCCAGUCGCCUCAGGCAAAUGUCCCCUGCAGUUGCUGAUACUGUGAAAAAUAAAAAAAGUCAGCAA